CAAUAGCGUAUAUUAAAGUUGUUGCGGUUAAAAGCUCGUAGUUGGAUUUCUGUCGAAAACAACCGGUCCGCUCUAUGAGCGUGUAUCUGGUCUGGUUUUGGCAUCCUCGUGGGUAACAGCUCUGUGCUUGAUUGCAUGGACUGGUAUUCACGACUUUUACUUUGAGGAAAUUAGAGUGUUCACGGCAGGCAAGCGCCUUGAAUACAUUAGCAUGGAAUAAUAAUAUAGGACCUUGGUACUAUUUUGUUGGUUUCUAGAACUAAGGUAAUGAUUAAUAGGGAUAAUUGGGGGCAUUCGUAUUAACGCGUCAGAGGUGGAAUUCUUGGAUUGCGUUACGACGAACUACUGCGAAAGCAUUUGCCAAGGAUGUUUUCAUUGAUCAAGAACGAAAGUAUGGGGAUCGAAGACGAUCAGAUACCAU
Molecule: ribosomal RNA, 421 nt
Filed under: uncultured eukaryote
Lineage: Eukaryota
Description: SSU rRNA
Rfam family: Eukaryotic small subunit ribosomal RNA
Source: RNAcentral